This is a long non-coding RNA of Gavialis gangeticus (Gharial), 6706 nucleotides long. RefSeq lists it as uncharacterized. The record is from RefSeq and is a predicted model, not a curated record. The transcript is spliced from 2 exons. NCBI's taxonomy places the organism in Eukaryota, Metazoa, Chordata, Crocodylia, Gavialidae.
AGAGAGAGUGCAAAAACUACUCUGGCAUUUUUCCUGAGGGGUGCUUCAAGUUUCAAAAAGGUUGAGAACCAUCGGCAUAGGCUGUGUGAUGCGUUGAACGAAGCGGAUCGGUCACUUGGAGUCAUUGGGUGUGAGAUUCAUCUGCCUGCAUCUGGUCAGGAAGAAGAUACUCAAGUAUAAUGGAGCAAGUUUGUGUAGACUGAUUGCAGUCCGCUUCGUUCAGCUGAGCAUGGUGGCAUCCAUGAGCAGAGGUACUUAACUCUUAGUCUGAUGUUAGAGAGAAGGCAACGUGGCAUCUUGUAGUUUAGACAGGACCAGCAAACACUUCAGAAAGGCCCAGACUGGGUAAGGGAAUCAGCACAAUGGCAAAUGAAAUGCAAAGCGGUGCCCAGUAGAGAGGAAGCUGUGAAAUGCUAAAAGGUUAGCUUGUGCCAGGUAAUACUGAUAACAUCAUGAGGUUAUCCAUGCCAGCAGCGAGGUGUCAUCUGGAACAGUAGGUGCUGUACUAGUCCCUUUUGGGAUAGGCUUCAUGGCUGGGUGCAGAGAUCUCCUCGGAGCAGAUGUUUCAGCAUGGGAAGGGGCUAAAAAGGAUGAAGGAUCACAUCUACGUUUUACACAAGGUCUUCAAUCUGGAUGAGAUCUAACAUGGUGAGCAGAUCAUCACACCUGACUUCUUAUACCUUCCUCUGAAGCUGGGCAGCAGUUCCCAUAUUGCAGUGCUGAGAUCAGAAACAGGACUGAAGCAGUCCAGCAGUUCCCAUGUCACAGUAUUUAUUCGGGGGUAAGAAUUCGGAGUUCUCCAGCAAACAGUCUCUUGGAAGAGUUCAAGGGCCUAAGCAACUUCUCUUUCCUCUCUUCCUCUUUCACUCGGCCUCUGUAGUCUUCUGCGGGGAGUGGAAGUCACCUUAGGCUACCUCAAAAUCCUGCAUGAGGUUCAGAAAGUUUGAGAGGAAAACCUCUUGCGAAGACCAGGGAAGUUGCCCCCAUUUCAAGUAGCAAAACUCUCCAGAUUCCAGCUGAGAUGACUAGGGGUAGUUUUUGUACUUGAAAAUGGGGCAAAUUCACUGCGGCCUUCAGCGUGAGAAGUUUGGUAUCCUCAGGGCAAGGAUUUGCCACGUGCGAGAGGAAGGGGGCUCCUGAGCCAGAGAUUCCCAAAUUGACCUGACUGUCCACAUGGCAGAACAGGCAGAGGAGGCCACUUGCUGCUUGAUAUCCCUUUUCUUUGCAAGUCUUUGCAUCCCAGCAGUGUGAGUAUCUGCUGGGAGAGCUCUUAAAACGAAGCAACCUUGGCAACAAAUACAGUGAGUCGCAUCCUACAGAUGCCCCUCUAAAAACUUGAGAGUUAAAUCUGCACUCCCAUCUCUUUUGUUGCAUGCGUAUAAUGACAGCCCUCGUCUCAGAAACGCAUUCCUCCUCUGAUUCUUAGUUUUUCUUAAAGAUGCUUGAAGCCAGCAUUCAGCCAUCUGAAUGUGUGCUGUCGAGAGUGAUCCCGUUGCGGCAGGGCUUGAAACGAAGGGAACCUGAAUACCUCUGCUUAUUAAAGUUCCUUGGCAACAUGUGGAGUUAGGUUAAUAACCCUGCUGACUGGGAAGAGCUCCAGAUUGAUUAAUUCCACACCACUCCCCAUCUCCCUUUUCCAUUGUAGUGGGACGCAGCUUUCCUCCAUUUGUAGUGAGAAUGCCUGCCUUUUCUGCUAGGCACCAUGCUCACAGGAAAAUGUAAUCCCUCCUGAGAGAAGCUGACAGUGUAAGUCUGUCUGUUGCUGUUCUGCUUUCCACCAGGAAGACUGUCGCAUUUCUAGGGUGGCCAAAGCAGCAUCUGCGUGUCGUUUGGAAAGGCUUUGGCAUCCUUUUUAGAUGAUGGGCCCUCCAGUCAGCAGACAAACUGAGAGCACACCUGGAAGAGACUUUGUGCUUACUGUUUCUGAGCUAAGCCUCUGUUUUCUCAGCCGUCCUCUUUCCAGAUAAGUCGCUAAAUAUAUGGGUAAAAUCCACACAGAUGAGAUUUUUUUUUUCCUAGUCUGCCAGAGAACUUGGCACAAAACUGCCAGCAGGCCUUUAGAUAAGAGCUAACGGCUUGAAUGUUAUAGUCCAGCUGUUUCAAAUUGGCUGCCAUCAGGAUGAAUGGCCUAGUCUCAGCCUAGGGGACCCUCGUUCUGUGGCUGUUGCAAGGGACUUCCUGUCUAAACUUUAAUUCUGCUACAUCUCUGUUAAGGAAACCUACACUUUUGUGGGGGGGAAGCAUCAAGUUUCCUGGGUGGGCCAGUCGCCAUAGGCUGGUCCAUUUGCCUUCAUCAGGAAUUCCCAAUCGGUAAGUCCAGCAGACUUUCCAGACCCAACUUUUCAAUGCAGAAAACUUUUAAAACACUGGUGAAACCCAGUUGCUUUAGAGAGAGGACAAAUAGAGACAAAAAUGGGGGAGCCUUGUUUCCAGUAUUUUCAUUGGAGAUUUGAAGGAAGUUGGGAUCAAAGAAUUAUUUCCCAGCGAGAGUUUCACCUCCACAUGAAUCACAGUAAGCUUAUGGGUUUGAGCCAUUAUUAAAGUAACUGAAAUUUGAAUGCCCUGAAAGAGCCAUCACAUUUCAAUUAUUUUUUCAAUUCCAAUGACAUAUCCCAUGACAUGAGUGUAUGGGAGAGCCUUCCCUUCCUGGGGAAAGAAGAGGUGCUGGAAUCGCUCAUCACCAGUGAACUUCUAGAGGAACAGGGAGAAAUCCUCUGAACCUCAUCACAUCUGCAGCCUCAUAAAGACUUUUCUUUUAUCAUGGAGUAGUUAGAUAAGUAAGCCUUAAAGAGGAUUUAUGCUUUGUCUCCCUCGAGACGCGAGAACUAUGUCCCAGUCGUGUAGACCAGGGAAGUCCAGACAAGAGUCAAGUAGGUAGAGGGAAGUCAGCAAGGGGUGGUGCUGAAAGAGAAACUCUUGGGCCGGGGGGUUAUUAGCAGCGCGCUCAAGGGGUGGCCCUGUACCUCCUCUUUCAUUAGUGCCCUCAGCACACGGUGGGAUAACGCUAGUGAAGCAUGCUGACAACAGAGCAGAGAGGCAUUGCCACAGAAGAUUGGCAUUUUGUACAGAAAAAGCCAGAUACUCUGAGAACUGGAAUAGUAGAAAUGGUAUGAAAUAUAAGGGUUCAGAGUGCAGGGUCAUGCAGCAGAGACAGGAAACGGGUCAUGCCGUUUGACAAGGUGCUAGCAAGACUGCCCGGGAAACACUGCACAGUGCUGGCCAGCCUUGCUCAGAACCAUUUCAUUCAAAUGAAGGAGCCUUGAGAAGGGCUGUCGGGUAGUCUGGGAGCAGGGGAGCCCUAGCCUAGGCGAGGGGACUUGCUGGACCUAGCAAACAGAAGGCUGAGAAGUGAUAUGGUCACCUUCUGUGGCAAGACUGUGUGAGGAAACACUUGGGAGGAAGAACGACCAUUUAAGCUGUAGUGUAGAGCAGUGCUGGCAUGAGCAAGUGGGUGGUACAUAUUGACCUUGAUAAACUCCUGCUGGAAAUUAGGAAGCAUUUACCUAUCAGCAGAGGGAGGAUCUGGAAUGGCCUUCCUCCCAAUGGGAGUAGUGGAGGAAGAAACCAAACUGGUUGAAGAUGGGCCUUGCUAAAUCUAGGAGAGGGUUUGAGUGACAUGAUUGCCAACAAUAGCAGAAGACUGGCUCAAGCGGGACAGUCUGUCGCUAAGUGGCUUGCUUUAGGCAGCAGGUCAGUAGCAAAGACAGGCCGUUUAGAAAUAGGGCAUUCCUGAUGGCUGAUUUCAUGCUCAGUCCACUGUCUGUCGUCUCUGGCUGGAGUUAUUACUUUUUAUAACAGGUGGACUCUUGUGCAUAUGAAAUAAUUUCUGGUUCCUGUGUGCAGAGAGGACUCUGAUUCCCUUGAGGUUCUGUCUCUGCUACGGCCAGGCUGUCAGUUCAGUUCAAUGUUUGGGAUCUUUCCAGUGCACCAUUUGGCUGCAAAAAUGGUCCACACAAGUACUGAUAAUGUAGGGGUCCUUCCUUCCUCUCCCAUCUCCUUCCCCUUCCCCUCUCUCUCUUGUGUAUACAUUUUCUUUUGGAGAGAUGCAUUAACUUGUGGCUGCACGCCUCGGGAUUAGUAAUGGAAUUGAGAGAAGUUUUUAUUUCCAUCAGCAGCAAACAGAAUUUUAUUACUGAAUAAUUGCAGUCCUUGUGGCCUAUCUAAAAUGAAUUAAUGAGCUUAACAAAAUCAUUAUUGGGCAUCUGGCCACAGUGCAGAUUUGCUUCCCUGUUGUAGAUGUUGGGUAGGACCCACAUGAGCAAGCUCUGCGGAGGUGCCAAAGACCAAAGGCAGAAUUCCCCUGAUGUGGGAAAGAAGUCUGUCCCGGAAAGGACUGAGGCACGCUGCCAGGAGGCAGCCCGGGAAAGCGAGUAGGUGAGGAACCUUUGGCUUUGGGGCCGUCAGUCCAGUUCUUUGCCACAUGCCAAACUUGAAACCAGCUUUUGCAAAAAAAGUGCUUUGCCCCUGUCUGGGACUGUUCUGUGAUGCAGGCAAGUCCUCCCCGCACCCAGAGUGAUGUAGAGAGGCCUUUGUAAAGCAGAGGGGCAGAUUCCUUCACUGGAAAGUAUGCUAGGUGGGCAAGGAAAGGCUGUCUUGCCAGUCCAACUUCUGCAAGGCAUUGACCCUAUUCAGCCUCACUGGAGAAUGCCUGGAGGAGUUUCUCAGUGACUGAGAUGUCUCAGGUGUCAUGUUAUUGGAGCAUCUCCAAAUGGAAGAGAGCAGGGGGCUUGAGUGGCACAGGGGAGGAGGCAUACUAGUGCAACAGCCCACUUGUAGCUGCUGCUUUGGCUGCAUGGUUUUAAUUUCAUGGACUUCGUUGUGGUUCCCAACAGCAUAAUUAAACAGACCUCACUUUUGUCCUCUCUCUCCCUUAGUAAGGAAUAAAAAGUCUAGCUGUGGAUCCAACAGACCGUGAAUAAAAUGCUAAGUGGAGCAGCCCUCGAGUGCUUGGAGUAGGCUGGUGAAGAGAUGGUUCAGAACAGGGCGAUUUGAAGGUCUGUAAAACAUUUAUUAACAGAAGAAGAAAAUAACCCUGGCUUCCAGCCUUCCCACAGCCAGAUUGCACUCGAAGGAGGGUGUCAGCCUGAGGCUAGUGUGGGGCCUUCUCAAUGGAUCUCCAUCCCAAAGGGAGCCCCAGGUGAAUGCUUCAGGGCUUUUAUAACAAACUACCAGCUGUGCUUCACUUCCUUUUGAGUGCAUGUUGCUGCUUCUAGCACACUUCGUAUUCCCCAGUUAGGCCAGGGCCCAGUUACAGCAUUUGUCUGUGUUGUCCAUUGUGUAGUCCAGUGAUUUUCAGCCUUUUUUUAUUUGCAGACCUCUUUGACUUGUAAAUGUUUGUAUUCAUUUACUUUUGAUUGAUCUUAGUCAUCUUUUGUGGACCCCUUAGACAUAGUCUGUGGACCCCCAGGGGUCCACAGACCACAGGUUGAAAACCGCUGUUCCAGUGGAUCCAGCAUCCUUUUAAAUCCCUUUGAAGUCACUACAGUUUUUGCUCCAGGUCAGUAGCUGCAGGGGGGAUGAGAGAGGGUCCAUUAGCUAAAAAUCUUUUACCUUUCAGCAACAUUGGUUGUCUCCUCUGUGAAGGAGCAGCCAUCAAACUUGUGAUUCACUUGUAAACGUUUUUGAGAGCUGGUAGGGAGGGGCUCAGGGCAGGUCUCCUUCUGCCCUGGAGAACAUGUAGCAAAAACCAUGCAAUGAUUGGGAGAGAAAAGGAAGACCCUUGUAUAUGAACUCACCUUACAUUAAGUGCAAUUGCAACAGUAAAGUCCAUUUUUUCUUCCUCAGAGCCAUAGUGAGAACUUUCUAAAAAGAGUCUUGCCCAUCAGCUAACACAGCCCAGGGCAUACUGUGUUGGUACCAGACUGCAGCUGGUAUUGGGCAGGAGGCGCAUCUGCGUGCUAAUGAAGGACAGAGCACAUGGCUUGAACUUAACAUGUGUCCCCCUUAAAUGUGCUCGAAGCAGGGCCGCGGUCUGUAGGGAAUAGACUGUUGCAUCAGUUGAGCUCUUCCCAAAAGGUGUAGAAGGGAGUGAAACUGUGGCAUCUCCCUUGUUCAGGACCUCCACUUAGCAAUCCUGAAAUCAGAGAGGGGUCGCUGCAAAGAUGCUUUAGAGGUGAGUCAAAAAAUCUCUUUGAACUCCCAGAGCAAUCUCUUGUGGAAGGGAACAGCUCUGUCCUUCUCUGACACUUUUCCCAUGGAUUCUGGAGCCCCUGGGUGGGAAGUUCGGUACAUCUCUGCCUCUCAUCCCAAGAGAGGAUCUUGGCUCCCUCAGGGUUGCUGCCCUUUGGUUCCUCUCAUUGCAGCAGGACUCGGAGUGUCUCUGUCCUCUUUGAGAGUGCACGGCCAGAUAUCCGAAUGGUACUGAGGUGUCUAGAAAUGCAAAGAAGGGGUCUUUGGAGUUCUUAAGUGCUAACCUGCCUUUGAAACAGGAGUAGGAAUUGAAGAGGAAUUAGGUGCUUCUGUCUAGCUAGGAAGAGAGACUAAUUGUGGCUCCAAGAGACAAAGGAAAGCACAAAUUCAACCGUGCAGCAAAUGGAAGAAAACAAGCAUCCUGUGCCCUCCCUGUGGCUCCUGUUUCUCCCCCAAAGGUGACAGCAACUUAGUUUUGGCCUGUAUCAUCUCACACUAGAGAAGCAGGCACGGUUCCUUCCAUCAGCUCCGUUUGAGAGUUAAGAGCACCUGCCAUCAAAGUCCUGUGAGAGAGAGA